UACGGGGGGGGCAAGCGUUGUUCGGAAUUACUGGGCGUAAAGGGCUCGUAGGCGGCCAACUAAGUCCGACGUGAAAUCCCCAGGCUUAACCUGGGAACUGCGUCGGAUACUGGAUGGCUUGAAUUCGGGAGAGGGAUGCAGAAUUCCAGGUGUAGCGGUGAAAUGCGCAGAUAUCAGGAAGAACACCGAUGGCGAAAGCAGCUCUCUGGGACGGUACUGACGCUGAGGCGCGAAAGCGUGGGGAGCGAACAGG
Molecule: ribosomal RNA, 253 nt
Filed under: uncultured bacterium
Lineage: Bacteria
Description: partial 16S ribosomal RNA
Rfam family: Bacterial small subunit ribosomal RNA
Source: RNAcentral